GGCGAAAGCCGGAUUAAUACCGCAUACGAUCCACGGAUGAAAGCGGGGGACCUUCGGGCCUCGCGCUAUAGGGUUGGCCGAUGGCUGAUUAGCUAGUUGGUGGGGUAAAGGCCUACCAAGGCGACGAUCAGUAGCUGGUCUGAGAGGACGACCAGCCACACUGGGACUGAGACACGGCCCAGACUCCUACGGGAGGCAGCAGUGGGGAAUUUUGGACAAUGGGCGAAAGCCUGAUCCAGCAAUGCCGCGUGUGUGAAGAAGGCCUUCGGGUUGUAAAGCACUUUUGUCCGGAAAGAAAUCCUUGGCUCUAAUACAGUCGGGGGAUGACGGUACCGGAAGAAUAAGCACCGGCUAACUACGUGCCAGCAGCCGCGGUAAUACGUAGGGUGCAAGCGUUAAUCGGAAUUACUGGGCGUAAAGCGUGCGCAGGCGGUUUGCUAAGACCGAUGUGAAAUCCCCGGGCUCAACCUGGGAACUGCAUUGGUGACUGGCAGGCUAGAGUAUGGCAGAGGGGGGUAGAAUUCCACGUGUAGCAGUGAAAUGCGUAGAGAUGUGGAGGAAUACCGAUGGCGAAGGCAGCCCCCUGGGGCCAAUACUGACGCUCAUGCACGAAAGCGUGGGGGAGCAAACAG
This 632-nucleotide ribosomal RNA is filed under the name Burkholderia cepacia. Its description in RNAcentral is "bacterial SSU rRNA". It matches the Rfam family "Bacterial small subunit ribosomal RNA", at positions 150 to 775 of the family's 1533-position model. Lineage: Bacteria; Pseudomonadati; Pseudomonadota; Betaproteobacteria; Burkholderiales; Burkholderiaceae. The record is from RNAcentral.